Long non-coding RNA from Rhipicephalus sanguineus (brown dog tick), 1107 nucleotides. RefSeq lists it as uncharacterized. The transcript is spliced from 3 exons. Lineage: Eukaryota; Metazoa; Arthropoda; Arachnida; Ixodida; Ixodidae. The record is from RefSeq and is a predicted model, not a curated record.
UUGCCAAAUUGUUGCCUCGUGAAGAAAGGACUUUACAUUGCGACAAGUUGCAAUGCGAGAAUUGAGAAAACACUGAGCAGCUGCACAUAUUGUCGAAGCUUAUCCUUUAAUUGUUGGCCCUUUUGACCUGCCUUAAUUUACAUAUCAUUGGGAAUGAACAACUUGUGUGCAUGUUCUUCAAGACUGAGGACAAUGAAAAGCGCACAAUUGGACCACAACCGAAGCUUGUCUUUUCAAGAUCGAUCCCGAAGCUCAUGCUUUUGUGUGCUCCAUGCUUCAUAAGCACACCAUAUAUUUCGGUUUCAUGCAUUUGAGCUUUUCAUUCGCGUCGAGUGGAUCUCGAAGGUCAUAGAUUUGAUGGCUCUUUACGUCCGCAUACGUCAUGGUAAUCCAUCGUUAGUCGUGUCGAGCCAAAUCAAGCCUCCUGGAAAUCCGAAACUAACGGCGUCGCUGUUAGCGCGGUCGAUUUCAUUUCGUUGCGUUACAAAAUGGGUAAGAAGCGCUAGAGAUUUCAUUCCUAACGAAGGACCACCGGUGUUUUUGCGUCGCCCGCUUUUGUGAGCCAUUCGCCGUGACUUACAUAGUAUUGUACGCAACUUCUUUUUUGCACUUUGCGCUGGUAUUGCUCUGCGCGCGCGACGUGGUUAUGCGGAUAGACUCCACAGACAACUUCGUGACAUGUACUGACGAUUCCUUCUGGCGUGCCUAUGAACUGUAGUUUUCGUCGCAACAUGUGCCGUGCACGUGCAAGACGCAGUCGUACUCGUGGUAGCUAUGUAGUGAACGCUCGUGCAAUAUAUGCGGGCCCUGAAGACUGAAUGCAAGUGAUUGCAACGCGGCCAGCAAAGAUCUUCCCGCCAAAGAGUUCGGUUCGGAAGACGCGGAAGCAGUCCGAUCCGCGCCCAGAACUUCAGGGCUAUGGGACUCGACAGGCUCAUGGUCUUCUCGAGGUCGUCCUCCGCUCGAUCUGGACGAGAGGUGAACGUCACAUCAACUCACCUGACAGAAUACGUCCUCGUCGACUACUGCGCGUCCCGUAAGUUGUCCCGUUCAUGCGCCCGAUCCAACGCAGAGCUACGCAGCAAUAUUGGCUCCGGCAUCGAAUGC